Molecule: unclassified non-coding RNA, 531 nt
Filed under: Hevea brasiliensis (rubber tree)
Lineage: Eukaryota; Viridiplantae; Streptophyta; Magnoliopsida; Malpighiales; Euphorbiaceae
Source: RNAcentral
CAGAAAAUUACAGAAAAACACUUCCAAACCUUGAAACCAACAACAAAAAGGAAAAGCACAUUUCGAAGGGGACUCCUGAUACAGAAAAUCCCCCAAAACUGUACAAAGAACGAAUUACCUGGUAGUUACUCUAUUCACGGCUGACGCGCCCAGCCAUACUUAGGGAAAUUAACCACUACGUGAAUAACUGCUCAACAGCCAAAAUAAACCCCCACAUGUACCUGUUUCAACUCUGGUAACCGCCAAUAACUACCUCUGAUUGCCUAACAUGGCCUAGACCUCCUAUGAAAGCCAAAUUCAUAAGUCUGCAGAGCAUGUGGACUGAGCUGACACCCAAGCCCUCAGUCCUUGCAAGCGCACGCCCAAAAUUGCCCGUCCAACACUAACUUCAACAGAAGGCUCCUAACAACUUGUACACCAACCAGCACCACCUGAUUGCCAAUUGCCUUGCCAAUGCUUGUACGUUAAUAGAUACUGCCUCAUAGAGUUGUGGUGGAACCAAGGCCAAUGCCACCCAACUCAUGCUCAAGG